Non-coding RNA from Gasterosteus aculeatus aculeatus (three-spined stickleback), 2698 nucleotides. The record is from RefSeq and is a predicted model, not a curated record. Lineage: Eukaryota; Metazoa; Chordata; Actinopteri; Perciformes; Gasterosteidae.
UACAAUUCACCUCUGUCCCUUCGGCUGGAGCUGGCGAGGACGCUGGAGCUCCAGAGCCCACCGCCGCCGCUUCUGCGCCCUGACCUGUCCGGAGGGACGCUGCUGCAGCCCCUCCCACACCAGGACGGCGCGGAUGGUUUUCCGUUGCCCACGAAAACCGGCUCACCCUGCAGCAGGUGAUGAUGAUCGAGUCCUGCUCCUGCAGCAUCUCCAACUGCCGCCGAUCCACACCGUGAGCGGCACGUGCGUCCACCCUCAGGAGACCCACGCGGGGCCCGUCCUGGAGGAGAGGGACCAGGCUACACGCAGAUGAAUCAACGGCGUGAAGAGGUCACGGUGUGCAAGGUUGUUGUGUUGCAGGUGGUUUUCUACUGAAACGAGGGUGCUAACCGGUUAGCCAGGUUUGUCCCUAUCGACCUUUCUGAGAAAAAGAAAAACACUAUGUUUCAAUAGACCUUUUUGUAUUUGAAUGACUGAACGAUACUGUAACAGUGAACACACAGAUGCUUCAUGUGAACUGUGUUCGAAGAUUAGAAGCUGCAGUGUUGUUCUGAAAUCCUCUCAGAGGAUCAGCUGAUCGGCGUUUGUGUUUUCUUGCCGGGCUGUUGGUUUGUUUUUGGCUUCUUUUUAUAACUUACAUUGUAUCCAGCAAGUAUUAACCAAGAUAAAACGUUUGUUCGGCGUGUGGCUACGUCUUACACAGUACACCUCUAACGUUCAGCUGGUAUUAAAUGGAAUGUUUGGCAAAAAGAUUUGCUUUGUAAAUCACUCAUAAUUACAGAAGAAUAAUGAAUGAAUUGUGGAUUUCAUGACGGUAUCCUUCCGAUUGUGCAUUACGAGGUCGAUGCUGAUUGAUGCUUGUUUGAACGUAGACAGAUUGACACUGAACACAGGCAUCUAUGAAUCCAUCCAUUUCCCUCUACUUGCCCAGCAGAGUGACCCAGAUGUCCCUCGCCCCCGCAACAUCUGCCAGCUCCCUCUGGGGGAUCCCGAGGCGAUCCCAGGCCAGCUGAAAGACGUGAUCCCCCCAGCGGGUCCUGUAUGGCGGCCAAAAACGAGACUGCAAACAUGAUUUGAACAAUACCUCAUAGUAACUUAUUUUUGUUAUUUACUUCAACUUAUCAUGAUGAGUUAUAUAUAAUUACAACUUAAUUGAUUCCGGUCCGCCUACCCGGGUUUUUAAACCGUUCAACAAACUGUAAAUUUCAACAAGUUUAAUGAACUCAAUAGUGUCAGUUCAAUAGCUGUCUUUUAUAAGCGAUUCAAUUUCCAUUGGAUCCCCAUGUUAAAUUGUCACAAUCUACACAGAAAUACAAAUGCAUACAUUCUGCUAUAAAACAGGUUUAUUUUUUAACUGUGUAUUGCGUGACUUUUAAAUAAUUAAUUUAAACUAUAUUGAGGCUUGAAGUUGUGUAUAAUCGCAAACUGUCUGUUCAGCUGCAUCACAAACCAAUGUAAAUACCAGACGGCGAACUAACCUAAAGCACGCGGCGGAUUAACACGUUCUGAACAGCCGGAUCACAAACGUGACCUGGACCGCAUCACGCAGUACGUCGGCUCAGCGAACCAAGUGGCGGAUGAAUAUCGUUCAGCAGCGAGACGACGAACGCGAGUCGACCUUUGAAAACCGGCGCGACAGCUCGGAAAAGAAAGAGAGCCUGAGGGGAUCUCCUCCCGCUCCAUGCGGUCUAUCGGAGGGACGCUUUUUACGGCUACUUGUGCUGCACCAUCCCCGCCACCGGCCGUUGUAUCGGUGGGAGUACGCUCCAAACACUCCCCACGCAACUGGCGCCUUUUUGAAAACCCGUCUGUCCUUUUCUGCUCUCUGUGUGCAGGUGGCCGAGCACAAGACCCGGAUGUACCUGUGUACAAGUGUAACCCUCAAACCGAUCACUUGAUGGUUGCGAUGGAGGCCAGUCGCACACCUGCUACAGUGCACGCAGGGGGGACGCACGGGGGCGCCUGGCUGGAAACGGGUCCGCCCGGCCUUCACUGACCUCCGCACCGCUGUCGAGGGAGAUGCAAGCGGACAGCAACGUUCAUGUGCGUCGAUGUGAGCACGGCGGACCGUUUCUGCUCUCUGGUCCGUGAUCUGAAGCAGUUACGAGGCCGGCUGGACGCAGUCGUUGAUGACCUGGUCCCAAGAGCGCCAGAGGUCUACAAAGCAACAGCUGAUGAAAACAAUGACCUGAAUGAUGAACAUCAACAGAAUUCAAGUGGCCUGUUUCAUGAUAACACGUCUUCACCUUAAUUUGGAGUAACAGGACUUCUCAUCUCUGCUCGUUGAACUACUAUUUUCUAUUUUCUUGGAGCCAGAAGAGGGAAGCAGAGUCCAGCACAGAGGAGCUUCCCUGCUGGGAUCACAGUCCACGUGCGAAGCAGCAACCUCACACUGUCCUCAAUUCCUCUCAGUUAAUUCAUAUUAAAGAAGUUACCUUUAGUUAGCACGUCUUUUCGCGUCUGCGCCAUGUUGGGUCAGGAUUUAAAGUACAUCAUUGCAGAGAGACAUCGCUGGUUAAAAUGAGGAAUUAACAAGGAUUUGUGUCAGAUUCAUCAGAUCGAUCCCGGUUUGUGUUUGUACACGACAGAACCGCAAUGAGAAACGAGUUCCACGAGGUUCCCUGCUUGGUUUAAUUGUAUUCACCUUGUGUAUUCUUCCUUUAGGGCCUAAAGGAAGAGUAAAGAAUACAUACCAUCA